This 338-nucleotide long non-coding RNA is filed under the name Aquilegia coerulea. RNAcentral describes it as "long non-coding RNA (ACOE_LNC000915)". Lineage: Eukaryota; Viridiplantae; Streptophyta; Magnoliopsida; Ranunculales; Ranunculaceae. The record is from RNAcentral.
GGCUAUGGGCAAUGGCUAUAUUAUAAGAAAAAAAUUCUACAGGAAAAAUAAAAUUUUAACAAUGUUGCAUACUAUUAAAUAGCAAAACAAAAAGACUUAAAAUCAAGUCUAAAACUAUUCUCGACGAGGUUGAACGGUUCGAAGAAUUUAGACUCGAUUAAAAUGAAAAUUGGUGAAGCUGCAAUUUUGGUUUUCUCCCCAAAAGCUAUUACUUUUAAAUUUUGCAAACCCAACAGUCAAAACAAUACAAUUAGUUAAUCAUUCUUACCAUAAGAAUAUGAAUUUGAAUUGUAAAAUUUUAAUGCAAAAUUUCUUAGUGAACAAGUGAAUAAGUUGUA